ACGCGUGAGAAUCUGGCUUCAGGUCUGGGACAACAGUUGGAAACGACUGCUAAUACCGGAUGUGCCGAGAGGUGAAAGGCUUGCUGCCUGAAGAUGAGCUUGCGUCUGAUUAGCUAGUUGGUGGGGUAAGAGCCUACCAAGGCGACGAUCAGUAGCUGGUCUGAGAGGAUGAUCAGCCACACUGGGACUGAGACACGGCCCAGACUCCUACGGGAGGCAGCAGUGGGGAAUUUUCCGCAAUGGGCGAAAGCCUGACGGAGCAAUACCGCGUGAGGGAGGAAGGCUCUUGGGUUGUAAACCUCUUUUCUCAGGGAAGAAAAAAAUGACGGUACCUGAGGAAUAAGCAUCGGCUAACUCCGUGCCAGCAGCCGCGGUAAUACGGAGGAUGCAAGCGUUAUCCGGAAUGAUUGGGCGUAAAGGGUCCGCAGGUGGCUAUGUAAGUCUGCUGUUAAAUAGUCAUGCUCAACAUGAUCAAGGCAGUGGAAACUACAAGGCUAGAGUGCGUUCGGGGCAGAGGGAAUUCCUGGUGUAGCGGUGAAAUGCGUAGAUAUCAGGAAGAACACCGGUGGCGAAAGCGCUCUGCUAGGCCGCAACUGACACUGAGGGACGAAAGCUAGGGGAGCGAAUGGGAUUAGAUACCCC
This 642-nucleotide ribosomal RNA is filed under the name Trichormus variabilis WUC1775. RNAcentral's name for it is "bacterial SSU rRNA". It matches the Rfam family "Bacterial small subunit ribosomal RNA", at positions 113 to 788 of the family's 1533-position model. The record is from RNAcentral. Lineage: Bacteria; Bacillati; Cyanobacteriota; Cyanophyceae; Nostocales; Nostocaceae.